RNAcentral lists this ribosomal RNA (468 nucleotides) under uncultured bacterium. Its description in RNAcentral is "partial 16S ribosomal RNA". It matches the Rfam family "Bacterial small subunit ribosomal RNA", at positions 28 to 507 of the family's 1533-position model. The record is from RNAcentral.
GACGAACGCUGGCGGCGUGCUUAACACAUGCAAGUCGAACGGAAAGGCCCUGCUUUUGUGGGGUGCUCGAGUGGCGAACGGGUGAGUAACACGUGAGUAACCUGCCCUUGACUUUGGGAUAACUUCAGGAAACUGGGGCUAAUACCGGAUAGGAGCUCCUGCUGCAUGGUGGGGGUUGGAAAGUUUCGGCGGUUGGGGAUGGACUCGCGGCUUAUCAGCUUGUUGGUGGGGUAGUGGCUUACCAAGGCUUUGACGGGUAGCCGGCCUGAGAGGGUGACCGGCCACAUUGGGACUGGGAUACGGCCCGGACUCCUACGGGAGGCAGCGGUGGGGAAUAUUGCACAAUGGGCGGAAGCCGGAUGCAGCAACGCCGCGGGCGGGAUGACGGCCUUCGGGUUGUAAACCGCUUUCGCCUGUGACGAAGCGUGAGUGACGGUAAUGGGUAAAGAAGCACCGGCUAACUACGUG